AGGAUUUCACGAUGUAAUUGCCAACACCGAAAUCAUCUGUGUUUCUCUUUCAUCUCUGUAGAUAUGCAGUUGGCUUCAACUAUGAAAACUUAGGAAGUGCGUUUAGAUGGCUUCUUUUUUGUUGGUUUUCUCCUCAAACCCUACAGUUCUUCCUUGUAUUUUCUCUUAUUUUUUAUGGAUUCUAUAUUAGUUAUGGGGAACAAAAUUGAUGUGUGCCAUCUCCAAAUUUCUCAGGCCUUGCAUCUUCUGGUCUUUUAUUUGUUUUCUUCAAGACGACGUCUCUUGUCUAGGGUUAGGGAAGAGAGAUACGUUGAGGUCAUACAGAUCUGUAGCUGUAUGCGAAAUAAAACUGGGAUACAGUGGUUUAACGUGAUAUUAGGGUUGUAAUCUAUGUAUUUACUGCUGUUUGUUUGUUGUUGGUUUGUCAGGAAUGUGUUAGGGUUUCGAUACCGUGUAAUUUCAAAAGCUGAGAUGAGUGAUGGAUUAUGGAGUGGAGCUCCUUGAAGUCCAAUAGAAGCUCCUGCUGGGUAGAUCGAGCUGCUGAGCUAUGAAUCCCACAGCCCUAUCACCAUCUGUUAUUUUGAUGGGCCUGCGGCUUGCAUAUCUCAGGAGCUUUAUUACCUAAUGUUGGAUCUUUUUUUGGAUUGAAGGGAGCUCUAAACCUUUGAUCUUUUCAGCCUUCUGCAUCUUAAAAUCUUUUGUUUUUUAGCAGUUUUCUCUUGUACAAAUUCAUCAACGCUGUUUGGAAUAUUUUAUCUGCUUAAAGUACUUCGUUUUCAACUCUUUGCCUUGACCAUGCUUUUCCGUUGCAGGGAACUGAUUACUUGAGUUGAAGCACUUGGCUUUGCUAUUUUUGUUAGUGGAAGCUGACUGCAUCUUCAUGUUUGCAUGGAUCUCCUGAUCUGUUUCAAGCUUUUUAAUUAGAAACUCGAGUGGUUAGAUCACAUGCAGUGCAGCAAAUUUAAUUCCCCCGUACAUGCUCUUAUUAAAUAGAUUGAUCUUUUUUCUUCUUUUUCGCUGCCACUGCUUACCUUGCCUUGUUUUUGUGCCCUUAAUAUUUAACAGAUUUGUUCCUGUUCCGAGUAGUGAAAUAUAUUUGAUAGCAUUUUUGUUUAGAAAUAUAUUAAAACAAUUUUUUUUAAAAUUUUAAUUUCUACAAACACUUUCUCAAUAUUCAAGAUAACUUGAAUCAUAAGUUUGUCAUCCUUCAUAAGGUAUAUCUAUAGUUCAAAUGCUGGCGAUUGCUCCCUUGUACAUUCCUGUUCUGUUCUGCUUCCGAAAGAUAAUUUCCGAAGACUAAAUUGUAAUGUAUUUUAAUCAGAAAAGGUUCCGUAAAAGGUCCAUAACAUGUAAGGUUAAAUAUACUGAUGUGCUUAUUUUUUCUAGAGCGCAACUGUUUUGUAAGUUUUAUUUCAAUAAUUUCCUUAGGAACAGAAUCUGCUUAUAUUUUGUAGAUAUUCUUGUGUCCAGUAGGCAUGGAAGAGCACCACCAGGCCAUGGAAAUUCCUGUGCAUCUUUAAGACUCAAACUUCCAUCUCCUUCAUGCAAUGAGGAAGAGGCGAAUUCGGUAGCUGAUGGUCUUGCUAGGCAGGCGGGGUUGAUACUUGAUAGUCCAAGUGACUUGCUAGGGCAUCAGUAGUUGAUUUCAGAUCUUUUUGUGCUGAUGUUGUUCUGGCAGAGCAUGCAGUCAGAUUUCUUGAUCUCGUUUUUACACCAUCUUAUUGAUGGAUUUCCUCUCAAAUAACUCUGGUUGUAUUCUUAUUAAAUAAAAAAUAAUAUUGAAAGAAAUGAAAUAACAAUCAAGCAUGAAAAGGAUAUGAGCCUAUGUGUUGACAUGGUCAUCUGAUGC
Molecule: long non-coding RNA, 1849 nt
Filed under: Populus tremula
Lineage: Eukaryota; Viridiplantae; Streptophyta; Magnoliopsida; Malpighiales; Salicaceae
Description: long non-coding RNA (PTRE_LNC001098)
Rfam family: MIR159 microRNA precursor family (bases 482-671)
Source: RNAcentral